Molecule: ribosomal RNA, 253 nt
Filed under: uncultured bacterium
Lineage: Bacteria
Description: partial 16S ribosomal RNA
Rfam family: Bacterial small subunit ribosomal RNA
Source: RNAcentral
UACAGAGGAGCCAAGCGUUGUCCGGAUUUACUGGGCGUAAAGCGCACGCAGGCGGCAUCGCGCGUGGGGUGUGAAAUCCGGCCGCUUAACGGCCAGGCGCCAUCCCAUACGGCGCGCCUGGAGGGCUGCAGAGGUCGAUGGAAUUGCCGGUGUAGUGGUGAAAUGCGUAGAGAUCGGCAGGAACACCCAGGGGGAAACCAGUCGACUGGGCAGGAGCUGACGCUCAGGUGCGAAAGCGUGGGGAGCGAACCGG